GGGAUGAUACAGUUUUCUUUGUUUUUUAUCUAGCUUGGAGCACAACAUAAUUUUUGUAGAAUGUUGAUGAACAGGUUUGGAAGAGUUUCCAAAUAGUGUUUCUAAGAAUUCAUGAGUGCAUAAUAGUUAUCUUUUGGGGCAUUACAGUACAGUUAUAGAAAUAGUAUGGGAAGUGUCACUUGGUAUUUCAAUAAACCUUACAGUAAGAU
RNAcentral lists this long non-coding RNA (209 nucleotides) under Elaeis guineensis (African oil palm). RNAcentral describes it as "long non-coding RNA (EGUI_LNC069750)". Lineage: Eukaryota; Viridiplantae; Streptophyta; Magnoliopsida; Arecales; Arecaceae. The record is from RNAcentral.